GAAUAUUGGACAAUGGGGGGAACCCUGAUCCAGCCAUGCCGCGUGUGUGAAGAAGGCCUUCUGGUUGUAAAGCACUUUAAGCGAGGAGGAGGCUACUCUAGUUAAUACCUAGAGAUAGUGGACGUUACUCGCAGCACAAGCACCGGCUAACUCCGUUCCAGCAGCCGCGGUAAUACAGGUGGUGCAAGCGUUAAUCGGAUUUACUGGGCGUAAAGCGCGCGUAGGUGGCCAAUUAAGUCAAAUGUGAAAUCCCCGAGCUUAACUUGGGCAUUGCAUUCGAUACUGGUUGGCUAGAGUAUGGGAGAGGAUGGUAGAAUUCCAGGUGUAGCGGUGAAAUGCGUAGAGAUCUGGAGGAAUACCGAUGGCGAAGGCAGCCAUCUGGCCAAAUACUGACACUGAGGUGCGAAAGCAUGGGGAGCAAACA
RNAcentral lists this ribosomal RNA (424 nucleotides) under uncultured bacterium. Its description in RNAcentral is "bacterial SSU rRNA". It matches the Rfam family "Bacterial small subunit ribosomal RNA", at positions 359 to 774 of the family's 1533-position model. The record is from RNAcentral.